This 718-nucleotide ribosomal RNA is filed under the name uncultured bacterium. RNAcentral's name for it is "bacterial SSU rRNA". It matches the Rfam family "Bacterial small subunit ribosomal RNA", at positions 67 to 806 of the family's 1533-position model. The record is from RNAcentral.
CGGGAGAAUUGCUAGCUUGCUAAUAAUUCUCUAGUGGCGCACGGGUGAGUAACACGUGAGUAACCUGCCCCCAAGAGUGGGAUAGCCCCGGGAAACUGGGAUUAAUACCGCAUAAAAUCGCAAGAUUAAAGCAGCAAUGCGCUUGGGGAUGGGCUCGCGUCCUAUUAGUUAGUUGGUGAGGUAACGGCUCACCAAGGCGAUGACGGGUAGCCGGUCUGAGAGGAUGUCCGGCCACACUGGAACUGAGACACGGUCCAGACACCUACGGGUGGCAGCAGUCGAGAAUCAUUCACAAUGGGGGAAACCCUGAUGGUGCGACGCCGCGUGGGGGAAUGAAGGUCUUCGGAUUGUAAACCCCUGUCAUGUGGGAGCAAAUUAAAAAGAUAGUACCACAAGAGGAAGAGACGGCUAACUCUGUGCCAGCAGCCGCGGUAAUACAGAGGUCUCAAGCGUUGUUCGGAAUCACUGGGCGUAAAGCGUGCGUAGGCGGUUUCGUAAGUCGUGUGUGAAAGGCGGGGGCUCAACCCCCGGACUGCACAUGAUACUGCGAGAUUAGAGUAAUGGAGGGGGAACCGGAAUUCUCGGUGUAGCAGUGAAAUGCGUAGAUAUCGAGAGGAACACUCGUGGCGAAGGCGGGUUCCUGGACAUUAACUGACGCUGAGGCACGAAGGCCAGGGGAGCGAAAGGGAUUAGAUACCCCUGUAGUCCUGGCAGUAAA